Balaenoptera ricei (Rice's whale) is the source of this 11058-nucleotide long non-coding RNA. RefSeq lists it as uncharacterized. The record is from RefSeq and is a predicted model, not a curated record. The transcript has 5 exons. NCBI's taxonomy places the organism in Eukaryota, Metazoa, Chordata, Mammalia, Artiodactyla, Balaenopteridae.
GCGCCGCGGGCCUGUCACGUGAGCGCAGCUCCCCGCGCGUGUGCGCCUAUGGAACGCGGGGGCCGAGGCGGUAUGUCUCCGGACCGUGGCCUGGCCUCGGCGACACCGAGGCCGCGGCAGGGGCCCAGGCGGGGGCUCCCGGCCCCGGUACCGUCGGAGCCCGCCGCUUCCUGCUUUGUCUCUACGUGCUGGGAUUCCUGGAUUUGUUUGGUGUAAGCAUGGUCGUCCCUUUACUGAGCCUUCAUGUCAAGUCUCUUGGAGCGAGUCCAACAGUUGCUGGAAUAGUAGGCUCCUCCUAUGGCGUUUUGCAGUUCUUUUCCGGCACAUUGGUGGUAAGUCCUCUUCCACCUGGCAACACAUCUUGAAAGUAUAACCCUACGCCUCUGAGGCCACCCAUCAUGGCUGUAGUGAAAUAAGGGUUUGAGGUUUACCAAAAAGGAAGUGUGCAGAUGGUGAGGACUUGCAGUGCCCUUAGAUCAAGAAGGAUCCCUCGGUCAUCUCUCUCCCUCAGUUGACCUCUGAGAAGACAUAGGCCUGAAGAGAUGGCAUGGCUGGAUCUGAAAGGACCUCGCUGAGUCAGAAUGAGAGCCUGCUUUUUAAACUGUAACAUGUUUUUCCCAUGAUUCCCUGCCAACUUUUUACUAGGAGAAAAGAAUGUAAACAGAAGUUAUUACCAGUUUUGUUUGUUUCAAUUAAUUGACAAUCAUCAAAUCCAUUCAGAUCUUAGGAUUCUAUUUGAAGUUGGGCCUUUUUGAACUACAUGGCUUAUCAAUUAUAAAACUUAAGUGUGUAGACAGAGGAGCUACUGGGAGUGGUGGGUUGUACACCGACCACAGGGGAUAGAAAUACCCAGAGCUGAUCUCGCCACUGCCACUUCUGACCAUGCAGUAGUUUGCAGUUCAGAACCUUUCACUGAUGUGCCCCUUCUUUCCUGCCCCUGUGUGCCCUCCACUGCACCAUGCUGGUCCUGAGGCCUCGGCGUCCAGUGAUUCGUGUGCUACAAACAGAAUGGUCAGUUUAGUCCCAGGGAUUGAUCAGCUGUGACCUUGGUCUAAAUAGCUGGUCUCACAGUGAGUGAACACCAUGUACAUACAACACUAUGUUUCCCAAGAGUGGCUCAUGUGUAAAAUAUAUUUUAUUAUUUGUUUUUGUUAAUGAAUUUAUUUGUUUAUUUUUGGCUGCGUUGGGUCUUCGUUGCUGCGCGUGGGCUUUCUCUAGUUGCGGCGAGCGGGGGCUACUCUUCAUUGUGGUGCACGGGCUUCUCAUUGUGGUGGCUUCUCUUGCUGCAGAGCACGGGCUCUAGGCGCGUGGGCUUCAGUAGUUGUGGCACGAGCACUCAGUAGUUGUGGCUCGGGGGCUCUAGAGUGCAGGCUCAGUAGUUGUGGCACAUGGGCUUAGUUGCUCCGUGGCAUGUGGGAUCUUCCCAGACCAGGGCUCGAACCCGUGUCCCCUGCAUUGGCAGGCGGAUUCUCAACCACUGCGCCACCAGGGAAGCCCCUGAAACUACUUUAAUACUCUUAAAAAUUCUUCUUUCACAAAUUCCAGCUCUCAUGACCCCAUUUAGUACAAAUGAGAAUGGUUUUGAUGUAUAAAUAUAAAAGUUGGAAUUUCUGGGGCUUUCCUAGUUUCAUGUGAUGUAUUAUUUUCUCCAUAGUGAUUAAUUAAACAUUUCCAUGUAAUUUAAUAUUUUAAACUUCUGUAUGACAUUUCACAGAAACCAGGAGAAGCGCUCCUUUGUCAGCAUACACACAUAAAAUUUCUGUUUGGCAGAUACUGUAACUGGAGGCUUCAUUUAAAUUAGAAAUUUAAGUAGAAAAAAAGCCUCGUUUAAAUUAGAAAUUCAGUUACCACUCACUCGUACUUAUGACUCAGCAGGACCCAAUGAAAUAAAAAAGGGGAAAAACAUUUGAAUAUUUAAUUCAAAGUAUUUCGUUACAGAAGUGAAAAUCAGAAAAGUCACCACCAGUAUGUCCAGCAUUAAGUCUGCUGGGCAUCUCACGGAGGGAUUUUCUCCACCCUACAAUACGAGGAUGACGGGUCCCCAUAAAACCUCUGUGACAGACUGAAAGGUCCCGAGCCAUCCAAAAGAAUCAAUACGCCAUGCAGGUUGAAACGUGACCGUCCAUUUACAGUAGCUUGGUUAACUCUGUACACAGAAAAACUCAUUCCCUGACCAGACCGGUAUGAGAACUGACCCACAGUUUAUUGACUAUUCUUAGAGGUAGUCAAGUAGAAUUUUAUUUGAAAAAAAAUUGUAGAAAACUAGAAAUAUAAAAGGGAUUGGAAAAUGAUGUGCCAGCAGAACACUGAAAACACUCAACAACUAACUAACCAUGUGGGUAUCUAGCCACCAUCUGCUGACCGACCGUCUGAGGGUGUCAGCCACGUGGGAAGUGAAUGACAUUGGGAAAAAUUCCAAAGGGGGCUGUCAUUUCUUGUCAUUUCUCGUGGAUGAGAGCUAUGGUCCCUGCCAGGCAGCAGUUACCAGCUGGGGCUCUCACUUGCAUUGCAGGUAGGCUGAAGAAAGGACCUGGUUAAAAUGUGGGAUAUAAAAUACCAGCAAGCUGGGACUUCCCUGGCAGUCCGGUGGUUAAGACUUUGCCUUCCAAUGCAGGGUGUGUGGGCUCAAUCCCUGGUCAUGGCUUGCCACCAAAAAACCAAAAUAUAAAACAGAAGCAAUAUUGUAACAAAUUCAAUAAAGACUUUAAAAAAAAAAUGGUUCACAUCAAAAAAAAAAAAAAUCUUAAAAAAAAAAAAACCAGAAAACUACCCAUUUUGCUCUAAAAGUGGAGAAAAAAAAUGAACCAGAAAACCCCAGAUCGCCAGACAGUUCUGAUUCAUGAGCCUGACUUGUUCAAGCUGAUGGAGGGAAUCAAUAUUCAGUGUUCAGGCCUCAACAUAAUGUCACAGCUACUUCAACUGCACAAAGAAACCUUUCAAUCACUCUUGAAAGAGUAAAGUAUGCACUUGGAACUCAUAAAAUAUUAUAGUUCUCAUACUUGUUUGUGAAAUGCCAGUUUUAACAUAAACAUGAUUUGGGCAAUGCAGCAGAUGCAAAAUGUGCUGAGACAUGUAAUAAAUAACUGCUUCUCGCUUCUUAUAUAAACAAACAUGCCCCCCCCCCCGCCCGCCAGGUAAAACGGUACACUCCGACUCCAAAGCUUAGCAAAAGCCGAAGGGAAUUUCACCCUGAAAGUUUGGAGGCAUAUACAGCAAACACAUGUUUCUAAAAAGUGUCAGACUUUGGGGCCAAUUUCUAAUCGUUUGCUGACAACAUAGCUGCUCCCAACAAUCGGCCUUAGCAUCACAUAUAAAGAAAUAAGCCCUGACUUUGUAAGUAGUUCAAAUCAAUUUUUUUUACAACAAACAUUAAAGACCCAUCAAAAUUCCCCAGUCACACUGGAACUUUGGCCGGAUCAAGUGUUGUUUGAAACAAGGGAAUCAUUUACAAGGGCAGGAUGUUUCUGUACUGCAGAAAUUUAGAUUGUUGUGACAUUUAGUUAAAGGGUUUCAACUCCAUACCCUCUCCUCCUGUAGUGUCUAGAAAUUAAUAAUUUCAUAAAAAGAAGGUACAGAGAAAAAACUAAAGUCAAAUUUCUUUUUCAUCUAUUUUAUCAUUCCACAGAUAAGGAAAAAUUUAAACUGAUAAUAAAGAUAAAAUGACAUAAGUGUUCCUUUUUAGAAAUUUACACAACGUCAUCCAAGUGUUUUACCUGACUUUUAAUUGGUGAAAGCUGAAUUUGGUCUACGUGCUUAACAAGAAUGUUUAUCAUAAUAAACAUUUCCAUGUUUCUCUCCUUCCGUUCCAGAACGUUACACUCCUUCUAAUAUUUAUUAAUCUAGGACACCAAGAAAAAUCAGGAAAUUCAUUUUUAAGAUCAUUUUACAUUUCAACCUUCCUUUUCAGAUUUCAUAAACUGUAACUUAGUCUUCAAACUCUCAAGAAUAUACAUCACAUCUCUUGAUAAAUCGUAGUCCUAUAAUGAAAAUUCUAAAUUAAAAGUUUUAUUUCCAGCAGAUGAAACACAUAUAUAUUUUUUUAUAUAUAAAUAUUUCCAUUUAAAAUCAAGAAUUUUGGCACAGGGUCCUAAACUUGUAGUUUUCAAAUUAUGUCUACAUUGCUUUCCACUGAUCAACCUGGGAGAGUUUGGGAAAGAAAUUGUGCACUUUUUGAACUUGUACCUUGUGUGUUUACCCUUCCCUCUGUCUCAUGCCCAACAAUCUAGCAGUAUUCCAAGAUUUUAGAAUAUGAGAAAAAAAGGUAGAAGAUUUACUUCACGUUGGUGGAGGAAGAAGGAAGGGAUAAGAUUUACGGCUGAGGAUUUCUAAGUACCGGAUCUUUUUGUUUAAUUUAUUCAUAUUUUUGCAGCAAUUGUAUGUGGUCACUUGUCUCCUUUGCUGUAUCUCCAGUGUGAAUCCAAGGGACUACAUGAGUGGCUUCAUCUCAUAUCUAAACCCAGAAAUUUUGAGUCUUGUUCUAGUCAAGUUUUAAAGAGGGGGUUUUUCUGGGAAAAGUGACAGGCCAAUAAAAUCUAUAGUCUGAGAGAUUCCAAUAUUAAUCUUUAAUGAUUAUGUUCCACUUCUUGUCUUUCUGCUGUACUUUUAAAAAGUACUCAGUACUCAGUAGAAUUCAUUUUUAGAUGAAGAAUUUGAGCUACUACUUUCUUGAGGGGGGGAGAGGUAACAAAUUACAGACUAGUGCAAAAAAAAGAGAACUCCCACAUUCUCCAAAGUGCUUCCUGCAUAAAAUUCAAAACCUGAAUUCUCACCAAUUUGUUAAACAUUGGAAUAUUGUUUAUCCCUACUUUUAUCCUUGUCUGCUUGGAGCCUCUGUCCUGGAUUCAAAGUUCUAGAAUGUGCUACAGAAAAGGUGUAAAGCAGGUGGCUGCAGGUGGGCGUGACAGGGGAUCUCCUGCGUCUUCCUCCCAGUAUUGCACAAUAUAAAACCCGGCAGGCCAGCUGUGCAGGUGCUGCCCUGUCAUCUCCACACCCACCACGUGAGGCCAGACUUCAUCACAAGCUGGCUCUGAGUCUGGCAUACAGCAUAAGCUGGAUUCACCCACACAGCCCUUCUCUUUGUACCAUUUAAACACGACGGGGAGAUGGACUCUAGAUGUCUGUCACCCAAAACGACAUCAACGAGGUCAAAUGAGGAACGAAUUGCAAACCAGCUGGCUCUCAUCGUUUCAUAGGCGCUGCAGUCCGGGGGCCAGGCCACGAGGUUCUGUCUAGACGCUCCGGCUGUUGCCGUCCUCAGGGGUCUCUGCUCCGUGCUGUGCUUUUCCUUAACUGGCAUCAGCUCAGGAUCAGGAAACACCACCCCGAGCUGAUGGCCCCCCAUCCUCUAGGAGCUGCCCUGGAUGCCACGGAAAGGUGUUCUGAGUAUUUUCAGUGCCGUUCACUGAAAAACUAAUUACAGAUAUACAUAUUUUUUCAUAAAUAAAAUCUGAGGCAUAUAUGUAUAUAUUAAAGCUUUCACCAGCAAGGGUGUGUUAAAAAUUUCAAGUUCUGUCCUUCAAGCUCAAUACAGGCACACGUGGCUUUUUUUUCUUCAGGCUUGCAAAGGAUACAACUGCUAGCAACAGGUCAUAUGAGACAUUUUAUGGGGCUUCUGUUUCUUUGAUUUUCUUCUUCUUGGGAUAAGCAUUCGCCCCGUGGAUCAAAGGCAUGGCUCUACCACCCAAGGACAGUAUUUAGAUGCACAGAGGGUUGGAAGUGGAUUCCCUUGCUGUGUCAGGUUGCUGAGUAACCAGCCACAGCUGGGCAGGGCCGGUCCCCCCCGGGUCUGCUUUGGCCAUUUCCAUUAAGGCUUCUCACUCCCGAAUCGACCUUUCCGGUUUCCAGGUUCUGAUGCCCUUCGGACCAGCCUAGGUGGCGCCUUGGGUCGGAUGCCUUCGUUCAUACGGUCGCCCCGCACGGAGCCAAAGUGGCCUUUGGAGAGGAGGGGCUGGCAGAGCACACCUGGGGCCUGGGGGCCCCCCUCUUUGCUGUGGGCAGCUGGGGAGCUGUAGGGCUGCCCUGGCCCGGAAUCAGCGCCUACCUCGUUCUUCCAUUCCAUUUUACAGGCCUGGGGGGCUUUCUUUGAGAACUGUUCUGGCAAGAAGCGCCUGGCUCGGGGCUGCAGGUUGAGGACGGUGGUCCCGACGUCUGGGUCUGAGUCACUGCUGUUGCCACCUGCCAGGGAGCAAAAGAAUGACAGCGUGGGCGGGCCUUUUAGGGAGAAGGUGUGACAGGCGACUGGCCAAUACAUUCGUGGGUCCGGCACCUGCUGUGCCCUCCCUGGGGCUCUGGGGCUCGGGCAGGGAGGCCAGAGGGCGCACCCCGACUCCGGCUGAGUCCUGGGCACGUGCAUAAGUCCCGUGAGCACGGGUGUCCACAGGUGUGUACUCUUGCUAAUUCUGAAGAGCUUCCCAUGUGCCAGCCACUGUCCUAAGCACUUUUAAAUGCAUUAAUCUACUGAAUAAUCACCCACUUUACAUAUGAAGUAAAUGAGGUUCAAAAGAUAUUAGUAAGGGGUGGAGCUGGAUGUCAAACUGAGACCACCUGGCGGCAGCUGUGCGCUCACCUGCCCCAUCCGAACGGCCCCAGGGGGCUCAGUUCAGUGUCUGGCACACAGUAAACAGAUCAAUAAUUAGCUGCUAUUAUGAAGAUUCUUGUCUUGAUCUAGGAUGUACAAUCUCAUGCACAGCUUUAUUUCCUUUAUAUUUUCAUAAAAUGGUCAAAACACCAAUAUGGCUUGCAAUCUACAUAAAGAUUACCAUCAAAUGAAGAGGUAUUAGCUGUCAUGUCAAAGCUUUAAUAAUUACAGCCAGAAGUCAAUUAUAUAGUUGCCUUUAUGAAAAUAUAUUAAAAUUAUUAUGAACAUUUAAGUUAGAAAUGUUGUAAGAAUUACAGAAUUAAAUUUAAACCUUUGAAGAUUGACAACUUACUAUUUACCUGUUCACCAACCACACACGGUGACAUCUGCUUUUGCUAUAUCGAAUAGAAUCAAAUAACUGAUUGAAUUACGUAUAACGUGCACAGAACUCCAUUCCAAAAGGAUGCAACACUAAUUAAAGUCACCAAAUUAUUAUUAUAGAUUUGCAAACGACUGAACUCAUUGUCCUUAAAAAAGAAGGAAAAUUUUUCUAUUUUAUAAACACUAAUAAAUAAGUUUAAAGUCUUUUUGCUCCAACUGUAUUCAAUACCUGCAUUAGAAAUAUUCUUUUUCUUUUGUAGCUUUUCUGGAAGCUUUGUAUUUUUUGGUAAGGAUAAAUAUCGGGAGGUUGAGGUGGAAGCCUGUAAAAAAAAAAUAGAAAACCUUAUUUAGAUGACACACAUGUCAUUUAUUGUAUGUUACAGGCUUAGAAUUCUAUGUCAAACCUAACGUUGGUGUUAAAAAUUAAAAUUUUAGCUCUGGAUUCCAAAACUACUGGGUGAGGAGCUGUAGGGAUGGGGAGUAAAUUUCCAAGUAAUAGUCAUUUUAUUUAAAAAAGGUAAAACCUCUCCUAAAAUAUCAUGGAAAUCAAUACUACUAAGGAAAACAGAAAUAAAGUGGGACCCUUAGGAACAAGGUAUGAAAACCACCGGCUUUUCUUAAAGAAAAGCUACAGAAAUACCCACUUAUAAAAGCAUUACUAAAAAAGACUUAGAAGCUACAUGGAUAGGGAGGAAGAUAUAUGAAAAAUGUAGCAUGUUUAAGUUGUAUUUACUUUCACAAAUCUUGAAAAUGACAGAACAAAGUGUUACUAUAGCUAACUUGCUGGCAUUUCCAAAGCCACAGUCUCUAGUUUCUUUAACUUUUAAUCGAUGCUGCCACAUUUCACAUGUAAAAAAAAAAUAAUAUUGGGCUUCCCUGGUGGCGCAGUGGUUGAGAAUCUGCCUGCCAAUGCAAGGGACACAGGUUCGAGCCCUGGUCUGGGAAGAUCCCACAUGCCGCGGAGCGACUGGGCCCGUGAGCCACAAUUGCUGAGCCUGUGCGUCUGGAGCCUGUGCUCCGCAGCAAGAGAGGCCGCGACGGUGAGAGGCCCGCGCACCGUGAUGAAGAGUGGCCCCCGCUUGCCGCAACUAGAGAAAGCCCUCGCACAGAAACGAAGACCCAACACAGCCAUAAAUAAAUAAAUAAAUAAAUAAUUUUUAAAAAAUAAUAAUAAUAAUAUUGUUCACACAUAACCGUUUUGGUCUCUGACAACUCAGUAUAGAACAUUAUUGAGAAUGAGAUGCACUGCCUGCUAUGUUCGAUCGAUCAAUCAGAAUAUCCUUUUAAAGUGGCUUCCUUAUCUAUGGCAAUGCCCUGGACCAAGUAGAAUGCUGAGCACGUAGCAUCUGAAACUCCCCUGACGUGCGCGCGCGCGCGCACACACACACACACACACACACACACACACACACGGCCUCCUAGAAGUUUCCACACAUGCACACACAGCAGCCCCCCUUCAGGCUGCACCCUCUCCCUGGAAAGGUCAAACAAGACUCUCCAAAUGAAGCCUGGCCCUUCCAUUCAGUUUAAAACUGUACCCUGUAGGACCCUUCCCCGUCCUCCCAAUCUCCUUCCUCAGCCCUUUUAGGUUUAUUUUGUCCACAGCACUUACUGCGUCUAACAUAACAGAUAAUUUUCUUAUUCUGUCCAUUCCUGAUGGCCUUCUCCCCCACUAGAAUGUGAAUUCCACAGGGGAAAAGAGCUUUGUCAUUUUGUUCACCAACGUAUUCCAAGUGCCUAGACAGUGUCUGGAACGUGAUAGGUGUCCGAGCAACGUCUGGAAAGACGUGAUGAUGAACUCCAUCCCAGGAUGCCUGUGAAUCAGCCCCCCAAGGCCGUCCUGGGCUUUGCUGUUGGAAGCCUUCUGCGUCCCAGAGCCACGAAGUCCCCUUACCCUGUGCUCCCGAUUCAAGCUGCUGUCCUUCCGGAUGCUUUCCCGAAGGCUGUGCCUUCGACGGAUCAGGAUCUCCUUGGCUUGCCUCUCACUCGUGUCGGCCGUCAGAUUGUGUCGGUUGUAGGACAAAGUCUGAAAUGAAAACACAAGCAACAUUUUACAAAAACGAUGAUCACUGCCCGGAAAUUCCAAAACUUUACUACAUUUCUUUGGCUUUGCACCUCUGAUAGGAGGACGCUGCGUUAAAAGGGGCUUGAGGAAAAGAAUGGAGCAGCCGUAAUGUCGGAUGGAAGGGGAUGGUCUGCGGGGAGGCCAGCUAAGAAGCCACAGAAAUGACCCUGAUGUGAGUGACUGGGACCCCUGACAACUGCUGUGUCCCUGUGCCACUUCGCCUCACUGUGCCUCAGUUUCUUCAUCUGUAAAAUGGAGACAACAACAACACCACUUGUUAGAGGAUUAAAAGAGAGAUAUAACAUCAUCAUUGAAGGAGAAGAAUCUUGGGACUUCCCUGGUGGCGCAGUGGUUAAGAAUCUGCCUGCCAAUGCAGGGGACACGGGUUCGAGCCCUGGUCCAGGAAGAUCCCACGUGCCGCGGAGAAACUAAGCCCAUGCACCACAACUACUGAGCCUGAGUUCUAGAGCUCACAAGCCACAACUACUGAGCCCACGCGCCUAGAGCCCGUGCUCUGCAACAAGAGAAGCCACCACAAUGAGAAGCCCAUGCACCACAAGGAAGAGUAGCCCCCGCUCACUGCAACUAGAGAAAGCCCACAUGCAGCAAUGAAGACCCAACGCAGCCAAAAAUAAAAUAUUAACUAAUUAAUUUAGAAAAAAAAGAAGAAUCUUAAAGAAUAACAUUUAGGAAUUAUUCAAUAUUUUUAAAUAAUUCAAAAAUCUAAAACAUUGAUUUCAGUGUCAAAAUCAUUCAUACAAGUUUAAUCAUGCACAAGUUUUUUCAGGGUCUAUUCAUGCAAUUAUUUAAGGAGGAAAGACCAGAGUAGCUUGCAAUGCUAUCACUUUAUUAUUUCUAAUACUCCAUAAAUUAAUAUAGGAUGCUUUUUCCAACAAAAACUUUAGCUGCAUUUUGCUAUUAUGGCCUAUUCUUUUAAAUACCUCAUUAGAAACAUUUACAAAGACACCAUUUGUAAUAUGUAUGUACAUACAAUUGAUCCUCAUUAUUCAGGGAUUCCGUAUUUGCAAGCUCAACUACUUGCUAAAAUUUAUAAACACAUUAUCAGUACUCAUCGCACUGUCCCAGUCAUUCACAGACAUGUGCAAAGUGGAGAAAAACUUGAGUCGUUGGGCAUGCAUGUUCCCAAAUGAGGCCAAACUCAUCUGCCUCCUUGUCUCAGCUCUCAUGCUGUAAAAAAAAAUUCCUUUUCACAGUCUAUUUAGUGCCAUGUUUUUCACAUUUUUGUGCUUUUUAUUGGUGAUCUUGCUGUUCUAAAUGGUCCCCAAGUAUAGCUCUGAAGUGCUGUCUAGUGUUCCUAAGCACAAGAAGUUCCUAAGUCUUAAUUCUACUUUUUCUGAAGGAUAUUUUAGCAGGAUAUGGAGCUCUAGGUUCAGUUACAUUUUUUCAGAAUUUUUGAAGCUAUCAAUGGUGUCCACUGGUUUUGCUGAAAAAUCAGUUGCCAGGUUUCUUUUCUCUUUUGAAGAAAGUAAGUCUCUUUUUCCCUCUGAGUAUGUUUAAGAUUUUCUCUUUGUAUUUUUUACUUUUAGCGGUGUUACUAGCAUGUAUCUCAUUUGGUUCUCUCCUCAUCUAAUCUGCUUGGGGUUUUCACAGUUCAUAUCCUUUAUCUAUUUGGGGAAAUUCUCAGUCACUAUCUCUUAAAAUAUUGCUUCUACCUUUCUCUCUUAUCUCCUUCUGGAACUUUUCACUAUAUAUAUAUGAAACUAUCCCAUAUAUUUCUCACUUUCUUUUUCAUCAUUUUUUCACUCUGUUCUUCAUUCUGGUUAUUUCCUUCUGUCCUAUCUUCCAAUUAAUCACUUCUCUCUUCAGCUGUGUCUAAUCUGUUUUUAUACCUAUCAAAUGAGAUCCUAAAUUUAGUUAUUUUUAGCUCAAAUAUUCCACUUAGAUAUUUUUUGUUUAUAUAAUCUCCAUGAGGAUGCCAAAAGUGUCAAUGCCAUUUUCUUUCCUUAAACGUGUUAUUAUUUCUAUUUUAAAGUCACUGUCUGAUGAAUCAAUUAUCUGAAUCCCCUUUGUGCCU